GCCGCUGUAUCCCAGAUGAUAGAGGCGUCGCCAGUAUAGAUAGGUCGCUGGUUCAAAUCCAGCCUGCGGUG
Phthorimaea operculella (potato tuberworm) is the source of this 71-nucleotide non-coding RNA. Lineage: Eukaryota; Metazoa; Arthropoda; Insecta; Lepidoptera; Gelechiidae. The record is from the annotation of a GenBank genome assembly.